CUGUGGCCAACCUCCCACCCUUGUCUCUAUACACCUGUUGCUUUGGCGGGCCCACCGGGGCCACCUGGUCGCCGGGGGACAUCUGUCCCCGGGCCCGCGCCCGCCGAAGCGCUCUGUGAACCCUGAUGAAGAUGGGCUGUCUGAGUACUAUGAAAAUUGUCAAAACUUUCAACAAUGGAUCUCUUGGUUCCGGCAUCGAUGAAGAACGCAGCGAAAUGCGAUAAGUAAUGUGAAUUGCAGAAUUCCGUGAAUCAUCGAAUCUUUGAACGCACAUUGCGCCCCCUGGCAUUCCGGGGGGCAUGCCUGUCCGAGCGUCAUUUCUGCCCUCAAGCACGGCUUGUGUGUUGGGUGCGGUCCCCCCGGGGACCUGCCCGAAAGGCAGCGGCGACGUCCGUCUGGUCCUCGAGCGUAUGGGGCUUUGUCACUCGCUCGGGAAGGACUGGCGGGGGUUGGUCACCACCAAAAUUUUACCACGGUUGACCUCGGAUCAGGUAGGAGUUACCCGCUGAACUUAAGCAUAUCAAUAAGGCGGAGGGAU
RNAcentral lists this ribosomal RNA (538 nucleotides) under fungal sp. HMYKDF6. RNAcentral's name for it is "eukaryotic LSU rRNA". The stretch from base 164 to 317 matches the Rfam family "5.8S ribosomal RNA". The record is from RNAcentral. Lineage: Eukaryota; Fungi.